Non-coding RNA from Schistocerca nitens (vagrant locust), 84 nucleotides. The record is from the annotation of a RefSeq genome assembly. Lineage: Eukaryota; Metazoa; Arthropoda; Insecta; Orthoptera; Acrididae.
GCCGGGGUGGCCGAGCGGUUCUAGGCGCUACAGCUUGGAACCGUGGUGCUGCUACGGUCGCAGGUUCGAAUCCUGCCUCGGGCA